RNAcentral lists this non-coding RNA (24 nucleotides) under Arabidopsis thaliana (thale cress). Lineage: Eukaryota; Viridiplantae; Streptophyta; Magnoliopsida; Brassicales; Brassicaceae. The record is from RNAcentral.
AUAGGCUAUAGGAGAUGACAUAAG